ACACCUCAGCUUCCCAGAUACUUGAACCCCAAGGUUCAAGGCUGCCAUGAGCUAUGAUCCCAUCAGAGCACUGCAUCCUGCCAGACUGAGUUCUGAAGGCCAGAAUUCUAAAGUCAGUUCCACGGAGUCAAGGUGGGAGCAGGGUCAGUGCCUUCCCAGGCUCUGCGGGAGAUUCCAUUUCCUGGCCCUGGAGGCGGCCUGCUCUCCUCAGCUUGUGCUGCCCUUCUCCAGUGACGCGAGUUUCCUGCUUUCAUCGCUACACCUCCCUCUGCUCUCCAUCACCUGCUCUGCUCUUAUAAGGAUCCAG
Molecule: non-coding RNA, 307 nt
Organism: Macaca mulatta (Rhesus monkey)
Lineage: Eukaryota; Metazoa; Chordata; Mammalia; Primates; Cercopithecidae
Source: RefSeq, a predicted model, not a curated record